UCAGAAACUAAUUAAAUUUAAAAGAAAAAUACUCAGAUAUUUGACUUUCUCUGUGAAAGGCAGUCCUAUUCUAAACAAUUACUGCAUCUCUUUCUUCCUCCUUACUGAGGUCUAGGGCCCUAGUUAAGUUCUAUAAUAAGUAAAGCUACUUCAAAAUCAAAUGAUAAAAAUCAGUCCUUCUCGACUUUCAGAAGCUGCUCAGUUUUUUAUCUCUUUAUGAAAUUAUAACAGCAAUAAAAUGUAAUCAUUUCAAAA
Molecule: long non-coding RNA, 255 nt
Filed under: Homo sapiens (human)
Lineage: Eukaryota; Metazoa; Chordata; Mammalia; Primates; Hominidae
Description: non-protein coding lnc-OR4E1-10:2
Source: RNAcentral